Molecule: RNA transcript, 4349 nt
Organism: Ziziphus jujuba (common jujube)
Lineage: Eukaryota; Viridiplantae; Streptophyta; Magnoliopsida; Rosales; Rhamnaceae
Gene name: large ribosomal subunit protein eL6-like
Exons: 8
Source: RefSeq, a predicted model, not a curated record
CUUUUCUUCACCCGAUUUUUCUCUUCUCCUUCAUCACCCUUCCUUCAAAGCUGGCUCAUUUUUUCUCAUUCAUAAAGCUUUCUUCACUUGGUUGCCCUUUUGCCAAACAGCCUCGUUUCAUCUCUCCGGUCACCAAGUAUUCAAGUUCUAAAAUGUAUCACAAGAGAGGACUUUGGCUAUCAAGGCCAAAAAAGGCGGCUUUUUCCCUCGUCACGAUCCGAAGCCUGCCGCAGAGAACCCACCUCAAAAACCUCCCAAGUUCUACCCCGCUGAUGAUGUCAAGAAACUGCUUGUCAACAAGAGCAAGCACAAGCCCACCAAGCUCAAAUUCAAUUCCAAAAAGGAUGAGUAUUACACCGGAGACGGUGUUGAUUGUGUUGGCUGGGAGAUUUAAAGGGAAGAGAGUUGUAUUCCUGAAGCAACUUUCAUCUGGCUUGCUUCUGGUGGGCAAGACCGAUCCAUACGUUAUUUUAAGCCUAGGGGACCAAGUCAUACGCAGCAAAAAGAACAGUGAAACCACAGUCAUUGAACCUCCUGGUGAACCAAUUUGGAAUCAGGUAAAGGUCCUUGUAAUUCUGCUUCGACGUUUGUAUUUAAAUGAAGUUGUAAAAGUUUUUCUAAAUGAUCAUAUAUGUUUAUAUAUAUAUAUAUAUAUAUGCUUGCUGGCAGGAUACAAGCAACUAUAGAACAUUGUCUGGUCAUAUGCAUCUUCUAUCAAGUCAUAUAAGAUAUUUGGUGAUGCAGUGGUGUUUGAUACCACUCAUUGCUUGACUACAUUUGAUAUGCCACUUGGGAUAUGGGUUGGAAUGAAUAAUUAUGGUAUGCCUUGCUACUUUGGUUGCUUGCUUCAACGAGAAGAAAAUCUGAGGUCUUUUUGAUGGGCAUUGAAGGUAAUAGAGCGAAAAUAGAAUACAAUACAAAUAUAUUCUAUUAGUCAUUUUGUGUAGAAAGGAAGUGGGUUUAUUGGUGGUUUUGUGUAGAAAUUAUGAUAAUACAAAUUUUCGAUAAUUAUGAUAAUAUAAAUUUUUUUGUUAGCCAAACCAUCUAUUGUAUGGUUUGUGGGUGUAAUUGCUAAAGCAACAAGUGUGAUUGCUGUUUUGAAGGAUAAGACGUAAGGUUGCUCAUGCUCAUGACUAAAUUUUAUAUUUAUUACUCAUAUAACUUCAUGGAACUAGGUUAAUUAAUCUUUAGACAAGCAUGUAUUCUAUCAAAUUGUUCUAAUAGUAUUAUCAUCACUUGCUUAUUCCUUUCUCUUUCUAUUACGCAGAGAAAACUAAUUUCUACUUACACAUUUGUUAUGUCAUUUAAUUUUAUUUUUCUAAAGCCUAGUUGACAAAUAAUCUGUUUUGCUAUUUGUGAAAAUAUUAAUCGUCUUUGUAAAAGUCAUAAACUUCAUAUUUAAUUUGAUUAUUGUUACGUUUUACACUUUGAUAUGUUAUUUUGCCGUUGGGCUAGACAUUAUUGAUUAAUAUUUAUCAUUCUCUUGUUUCAUUUUGAUAUGUUAUUUUGCAGUUUGGUUAAACAUUAUUGAUUAAUAUUUAUCAUUCUCUUGUUUUUCAUUGGAUAUAUUUUAGUGUUGACAAGUUAAGGAAGCUUUUGUCUGAUAAGGAUGCAUACCAUCAAUUUUUACUUUUGCUCGAUCAAGUUAAAAUUCAAAAUAAUGGAGAACUUGGAAAAGGAACCGCACAUUAUGGAGCUCAGAAAUCAGAAUUAUGAGAACAACAGACUUGGCUGCUGUAGAGGAGAAGCUAUAUUGAGCUUGAGAGACAAAAGGAAGAAAUGUUGAGUUUCUUUGUAACACCCCGUCCCGAACCAUGUCGGAAUUUUUGCACGUUGACCGAGAUUGACUGUUGACCGUUGACCAAGGGGUCAAAAGUUGACUUUUUGAUCCGAUUGGAAUUCUAGGUUGACUGAGAUACCGUUACGAAGUACACGUUGGCACGAGUUCGUAGACUAGUAGCACGUUCAAAACGGAGCUACGGUUUGAAAGUUAUGAGCAAAACAAGUUGAGGUCCAAACUGUCCAAGGGGUGCCGGAGUUGACUUUUUAUUCAUGCAAAGUUGAGCUUUGACUCAUGCAUGGUUGUGAAGUGUUCAUCGAUACGAGUCCGUAGACUAGCGGCACGUCCGAUUUGGACAUGUGGUUUGAAAGUUAUGGACCUGUAGAGUUUUUCAAACACCGUAUUAUUUUAAUAUUAUUUUUUAAACAUGUAACGAUGUGUCACGUGUGACUUAAUGAAGGUGACCAUGUGUCACCAUGUUGAGAAGCCACAUGUCAACCAUGUGUAAUAUCAAAUUAUUUUUAUUAUUAUUUUUAUUAUUAUUUUAAAUAAUAAUAUUAUUAUUUAAUUAUUUAAUUAUUUUUAAUUUUCCUUUUUCUUUUUCUUUUUCUUUCCUUUUUCUUUUCUUUUUCUUUUUCUUUUCUUUUCCCCACGUGGGAAAAAAAGGGCCAGGGCCCGAUCCUCUCCUUCUUCUUCUUUUUCUUUCUUUCUUUCUUUCUUUCUUUCUUUCUUUCCACCGCCCGUCUCUCUCUCUCUCCCUGCUGCACAUUUUCCAGCCACCGGAACCACGCACGCGCCGGCCGACGUGAAAGCCCGCAGCUGGUGACACCGGCGGCCAAAUCUUCGGCCGAAUGGCCAGCGGACGAGCCGGGAUCGGCCUCCAACGCCGGCGGCCGGUGUGUCGCCAGUUUGGCCAUUUUCCGACAGCCACCGGUCGUGCAACCGGUCCUUUCCCACUAAUUUGGACCCUCUGAGUCCGAUUCUGAGCUCCAAUUAACUCAACUCCCGUCGAUUUGCAAGAUACGAAGGGAUUAAAACCGGCCGAAUCUUUCCGACCAAAUUCCGGCCACCGCCGGUCGAAUUGAACUCAAUGGAGGUCGGUAAUGGGAUCCUCAUCUCACAAGCUUUCCAUAGACAUAUAAUUUGUCAAUUUUGGAUAACGUUUGUGUUUGACCUCCCCGGGUACCGGGUAUUAAUUAUCCGAUUAAAAUAUUAAUUUAUUUAACUGUGUGUGAAUUUUGUUCUAGGAGCACGGGUGAGUCAUGGAAUUGAUCCCAUGGUGGAUCAUGGUUUAAUUGCGUGCUCCAGGUGAGUGACCCACCUUUAAAAAUAUUUUGGACAAUUUAUUAUAUUUAUUUGGUGUUUAUUUGAUAUCUGUAAUUUGUGCUCAUGUGGCAUAUUUUAAAUAUAAUCGGGAAAAAUAUUAUUUUAUAUAUAUUUAUCCAUUAGUGCUAAACGGAAAUUUGGGGGUCAUUAAGAAAUUCCCGAUUAUUAUUUUAUUGUGAUUAAAUGGUAUUUAUUACACAUGAGCAAGUAUUUUCAGUAAUUGAUUGUGUCUGGAUUUUAUAUCUUUUUUGGGCAAUUAAUUAUGUUUAAUUGGUAUUUAAAUUAUGCUCAUGUGGUACAAUUUGGUUAUGGUUUUAUUGUGGUUUAAUUUAUUUAUUAUGCAUGAGCAAAGUAUAUUUCGGUAAUAAUCGUAUGUGGUUUUAAGUAUUAUUUUCGGGCAUAAUUGGGUUAAAUAUUUUAUGAAAAUAUUUGGUUAAAUUUUAUAAAUUAUGCCCGCGGUAUUUUUAUUGUUGAACCUCGUACUUCAAGAAAAUUGUGGUUUAUUUGUUAUCGAUAUUUUCGUACCGGUUUGUUAAAUAAAAAUAUGUGGGAUGGUAAGUGUGAAAUUUUGAUAUAUUUCCCACGGUAAUUUUGGAAAACGGUACGGUUGGUUAAUAAUAAUUGUUUUAGAUGCACUUAUACAGUAUUGGUGUUCUGGUGUAUGGACACGUGGUAGCGCGCAAGUAUUAUGUGGUUUAGCGCGCAAGUAUUAUUUCUCCCGUGGUUGCCAUUGGACUGGGCAGGCAAGUUUGAUAUUGGCAACAGCCGCCCCUCCCUUGGCCAGGAUGAUGGUUUCAGCAGCGGUAUUGUCGGGACGCCGAAGUGCCGUUUGCAAGUUUCUCUCUUUAAUCUCUCCGCCAAUCGGUGCUCGGGACGCUGGGUAUUGGAGGGCAUCACUAGUAUAUGGUUCAGGUUGGAGACGUUGAUUGUCCGGGGCGAGUCCAACAUCUCAGUUCGAUGCCGAAAGUCCAAGAAGUAUAUCUUCCCUUUUUCCUCUCUAUCCUAUGCAAUGAACAUAACAGAUGAGGAAUCUGAAAGUCUGCACAAGCAGCUUUUUGUGCAGAUAUACAAGGAGCUUCGCACCACUUAAGCGAGCACUCAUUCAUCUUGUAGUUAAAACAAAUUCACUCAGUUGAAUUGAUAUUAUAGAAAGAUAUAUACUUGGAACACAUUGAAACCUUACUUCUAGUUUCAAUGCAUUGGCUAGAUAAACAUGAUUGUCUGUGUAUUAUUUGGUUAAAUA